CGGGACACGUGGUAUCCUGUCUGAAUAUGGGGGGACCAUCCUCCAAGGCUAAAUACUCCUGACUGACCGAUAGUGAACCAGUACCGUGAGGGAAAGGCGAAAAGAACCCCGGCGAGGGGAGUGAAAAAGAACCUGAAACCGUGUACGUACAAGCAGUGGGAGCACAGAGCAAUCUGUGUGACUGCGUACCUUUUGUAUAAUGGGUCAGCGACUUAUAUUCUGUAGCAAGGUUAACCGAAUAGGGGAGCCGAAGGGAAACCGAGUCUUAACUGGGCGUUAAGUUGCAGGGUAUAGACCCGAAACCCGGUGAUCUAGCCAUGGGCAGGUUGAAGGUUGGGUAACACUAACUGGAGGACCGAACCGACUAAUGUUGAAAAAUUAGCGGAUGACUUGUGGCUGGGGGUGAAAGGCCAAUCAAACCGGGAGAUAGCUGGUUCUCCCCGAAAGCUAUUUAGGUAGCGCCUCGUGAAUUCAUCUCCGGGGGUAGAGCACUGUUUCGGCAAGGGGGUCAUCCCGACUUACCAACCCGAUGCAAACUGCGAAUACCGGAGAAUGUUAUCACGGGAGACACACGGCGGGUGCUAACGUCCGUCGUGAAGAGGGAAACAACCCAGACCGCCAGCUAAGGUCCCAAAGUCAUGGUUAAGUGGGAAACGAUGUGGGAAGGCCCAGACAGCCAGGAUGUUGGCUUAGAAGCAGCCAUCAUUUAAAGAAAGCGUAAUAGCUCACUGGUCGAGUCGGCCUGCGCGGAAGAUGUAACGGGGCUAAACCAUGCACCGAAGCUGCGGCAGCGACGCUUAUGCGUUGUUGGGUA
This 814-nucleotide ribosomal RNA is filed under the name Escherichia coli. Its description in RNAcentral is "partial 23S ribosomal RNA". It matches the Rfam family "Bacterial large subunit ribosomal RNA", at positions 418 to 1230 of the family's 2925-position model. RNAcentral also lists the same sequence under 1 other name. Lineage: Bacteria; Pseudomonadati; Pseudomonadota; Gammaproteobacteria; Enterobacterales; Enterobacteriaceae. The record is from RNAcentral.